AAUAGAUACCCAGGUAGUCCACGCCGUAAACGUUGGAUACUAGGUGUGGCGGUUAUACCAAUGACUGCCGUGCCGAAGCUAACGCAUUAAGUAUCCCGCCUGGGGAGUACGGCCGCAAGGCUAAAACUCAAAGGAAUUGACGGGUCCCCGCACAAGCGGCGGAGCAUGCGGCUUAAUUCGAUGCAACCCGAAGAACCUUACCUGGGUUUGACAUCACGGGAAAAGCUGUAGAAAUACAGUGUCCAUUAGGGCCCGUGACAGGUGGUGCAUGGCUGUCGUCAGCUCGUGUCGUGAGAUGUUGGGUUAAGUCCCGCAACGAGCGCAACCCUUGUCCUAUGUUGCCAGCGGUUCGGCCGGGGACUCAUAGGAGACUGCCGGGGAUAACUCGGAGGAAGGUGAGGACGACGUCAAGUCAUCAUGCCCCUUAUAUCCAGGGCUGCACGCAUGCUACAAUGGCCGGUACAACGGGCAGCGACCCCGCGAGGGUGAGCGAAUCCUAAAAAGCCGGUCCUAGUUUGGAUUGAAGUCUGCAACUCGACUU
This 541-nucleotide ribosomal RNA is filed under the name uncultured bacterium. Its description in RNAcentral is "bacterial SSU rRNA". It matches the Rfam family "Bacterial small subunit ribosomal RNA", at positions 777 to 1318 of the family's 1533-position model. The record is from RNAcentral.